RNAcentral lists this ribosomal RNA (244 nucleotides) under uncultured bacterium. RNAcentral's name for it is "partial 16S ribosomal RNA". It matches the Rfam family "Bacterial small subunit ribosomal RNA", at positions 89 to 334 of the family's 1533-position model. The record is from RNAcentral.
UGGCGACCGGCGCACGGGUGAGUAACACGUAUCCAACCUGCCGAUAACUCGGGGAUAGCCUUUCGAAAGAAAGAUUAAUACCCGAUAGUAUAAUCAGACCGCAUGGUUUGAUUAUUAAAGAAUUUCGGUUAUCGAUGGGGAUGCGUUCCAUUAGGCAGUUGGUGAGGUAACGGCUCACCAAACCUUCGAUGGAUAGGGGUUCUGAGAGGAAGGUCCCCCACAUUGGAACUGAGACACGGUCCAA